GAUGAACGCUGGCGGCGUGCCUAAUACAUGCAAGUCGAGCGAACGGACGAGAAGCUUGCUUCUCUGAUGUUAGCGGCGGACGGGUGAGUAACACGUGGAUAACCUACCUAUAAGACUGGGAUAACUUCGGGAAACCGGAGCUAAUACCGGAUGAUAUUUUGAACCGCAUGGUUCAAAAGUGAAAGACGGUCUUGCUGUCACUUAUAGAUGGAUCCCGGCUGCAUUAGCUAGUUGGUAAGGUAACGGCUUACCAAGGCAACGAUGCAUAGCCGACCUGAGAGGGUGAUCGGCCACACUGGAACUGAGACACGGUCCAGAGUCCUACGGGAGGCAGCAGUAGGGAAUCGUCCGCAAUGGGCGAAAGCCUGACGGAGCAACGCCGCGUGAGUGAUGAAGGUCUUCGGAUCGUAAAACUCUGUUAUGAGGGAAGAACAUAUGUGUAAGUAACUGUGCACAUCUUGACGGUACCUAAUCAGAAAGCCACGGCUAACUACGUG
Molecule: ribosomal RNA, 497 nt
Filed under: uncultured bacterium
Lineage: Bacteria
Description: partial 16S ribosomal RNA
Rfam family: Bacterial small subunit ribosomal RNA
Source: RNAcentral